GGCCAAUGGGCGGAGGGGGCGUGGCCGGGCGCGCAGGAGGCGUGCCCACGCGGCCGCGCCUCGCCCCUCCCCGUGCGCCAGCCGCCGGCGGAAGUGACGCGCCAGCCGCCGCCGUCGCCGCUUCCGCCUGUGCCGCCGCCAUGCUGCCCGCUGCCCGCCUGACCCGCGCUCUGCUGCGCCCCGCGGGGCGGCUCGGCCCGGCGCGGCGCGGCCUCAUCUCGGGGCCGCCGCAGCAGCCGCUGGGGCCCGUGGAGACCGUCGUGGGCUUCGCCGCCAUGUUCGUGAGCUGCCUGGGCCCGGCCGCCUGGGUGCUGGCGCACCUCGAGGACUACAAGAAACGGGAGUGACCCCCCCGCCCGCCGCCCCGGCUCCCCUCCGCCACCCUCCCCCGCCGCCGCCGAGACCCUCUGCCGGCACCGAGACCCCCCCCGGGACCAGCGCGACUCUGUAGCGGGACCGACAUGGGGGCACCGCACCGGGACCACCGGGACCACCAGGGACCCCUCUGGGGCCGCCGGGACCACUGGGGACCCGUCCAGGACCCCCGUUAGCACCGGGACCCCCCUCCGGGACCACCAGGGACCCCCGAUAGCGCCAGGACCCCCCACCGGGACCAUCGGCGACCCCUCUGGGAGCACCGGGGACCCCGUUAGCCCUCGGGGUCCUGUGCUGGGGCCCCCCAGUAGCCCCUGGGACCCCCCCCCGGGACCACCAGGGCCCCCCGGGACCAGCGCGGUGGUGCCCCCCCCCCCAAUAAAGGCCGCUUGAUGCUCUGCCCA
Dromaius novaehollandiae (emu) is the source of this 779-nucleotide long non-coding RNA. RefSeq lists it as uncharacterized. NCBI's taxonomy places the organism in Eukaryota, Metazoa, Chordata, Aves, Casuariiformes, Dromaiidae. The record is from RefSeq and is a predicted model, not a curated record. The transcript is spliced from 2 exons.